CCCUUAGAUGUCCGGGGCCGCACGCGCGCUACACUGAAGGAAUCAGCGUGGCUUUCUCCCUGACCCGAAAGGGUUGGGAAACCCGUUGAAUCUCCUUCGUGAUAGGGAUUGGGGCUUGAAAUUGUUCCCCAUGAACGAGGAAUUCCCAGUAAGCGCGAGUCAUAAGCUCGCGUUGAUUACGUCCCUGCCCUUUGUACACAACGCCCGUCGCUACUACCGAUUGAACGGUUUAGUGAGGGCCUCGGAUUGGUCUCGGCCCGCUCUUUACCGGGCGGCGCCGUUGGUCGAGAAGACGCUCGAACUUGAUCGUUUAGAGGAAGUAAAAGUCGUAACA
RNAcentral lists this ribosomal RNA (334 nucleotides) under uncultured eukaryote. RNAcentral's name for it is "partial 18S ribosomal RNA". It matches the Rfam family "Eukaryotic small subunit ribosomal RNA", at positions 1470 to 1796 of the family's 1831-position model. The record is from RNAcentral.